Cottoperca gobio is the source of this 209-nucleotide long non-coding RNA. RefSeq lists it as uncharacterized. Lineage: Eukaryota; Metazoa; Chordata; Actinopteri; Perciformes; Bovichtidae. The transcript has 3 exons. The record is from RefSeq and is a predicted model, not a curated record.
GCCCCCGCGACCCGAUCCCGGAUAAGCGGUAGACGAUGGAUGGAUGGAUGGAUGGAGAUUUUAUGGACACAUGCAGACACAGAGCGGGGUCCCAGUGGAGCUGCUUCUUACAACAGGGGGGACUCCCAAACCUAAUAUCCACAACACAGAGCCUCCUGCAGUAAAGCCAAUCAGAGGGAUUUCUCCGACCAACGAUCCGCUGACAAGUC